UUUGGUACUAAUUGCAGGAAGGUGGAGCAAAAAGAGAUAAAAGAUGUGAUUUUUCAAGAGUUUUCUAAUUCAAAAUGGAGUCUACGUGGAUUAUUGACGGAAGAUUAGGAGGAAGUUUAUUUGGUUUCAAAAAGUUAAAAAUUAGGAAAAUCAAUUCCUUCAAUUUCGUGGCUACCAAAAGGAAAAAGAGGGAACUAUUAGACUCCUAGUAGGUCUACUUGGCUUGGCAUGAAUUUCUGUUUGGCUUUGCUAUGUGGGGACCAUCGAGAGAAAGCCACGGUGGUGGACCUUUGUAUUUGGACUUUGGCUAAUUUGGACUAGAAACAAAAUAGCAUUGUAAUUGGUCUUGAUUUUGCUCCUUUAGCCGACUGAGAAAAUAGGAAAAGAAAAGCCGGAUCCCGCGUGAUUAAGAGUUGAAGGCAGCAACAAAUUCGGGAGGAACAAUUCGGCUGGCACUUAGGUCUUUGUACUUUUCCUUUUUAGCCGACUUUGGGGGAGGGCAAUUGCUUUGAUUUUGAUUUUUAUCUUUUACUUUUCUUCCUUGGCUGAUUUGGCCAGGAACAAUUUGGUAAGAUUCAGAUAGCUUUUUCGCAAGGUUGUUCUCCAUUAAUGGAGGACUAACCUCCUAAUGCUAGUCAAGGGGACAACUGAAGAUUUGGUUCAACAAUGACUGUGAGAUCUAAUUUAUUUUAAUUGCUUCCUCCAUUUAUUGGUAUUCAUAUGUUUCCUGCUUUUAACCGUUAUAGCUCGUGUGGAUGAUUGAUUAGUGCGCAAUAAUUAAUUAUUCAUAGAGGCUAUUUUGCUAGAUAGGGGUAAUUGAAUCCGUAAUUGUUCGUUACCUCUGUGUUAGUAGCAAUUGGCGUAAUUGGAUUUACGUCAGGGGACCAUGUGAUCUAGUUUAAAUAAACCCUCGUAGCGUGUUUGUUAGUUAGGAUUGGGCCUUUCUAAUUGAUAAUGCAAUCUAGAAAUUAAAUCCUACGGUCGUACCUAGGGUUGUUUUUGGGUUAGAGAAAUAGUUAACGGUCAUACCUUAACUAUCGAGAAAUUAAGGAAAGGUUGGUUGUUUAUCGCGUGCAUGACAACUAUAACUGAUCUAUUAAUAAAUGUUGGAAUUAUUUUUGCAUCAAUGAUCAGUGCAUGACCCAUUUCUGAAGUGUACCCUUGGUUAGAGUUUCUCUUAGUUAUUUCUUUUAAUUAAUUAUUUUCUGCAGUUAAAUUGUUUAGUUAGCAUUUAAUCCUAAAACCCCCUAUACUUUGAACUCUAGAAGAAACUAAUUAUCCCCAUUCCCUGUGGAUUCGACCCUACUCACCGCUAUAUACAAAAUCUGUAUUUUUCUUGAGUAGGUAAUUAUUAUUGCACAGGUUCGGCACCUGUCAAUUUUUGGCGCCGUUGCCGGGGACUGGUGUUUGUUUAAUUUGUUUCUUUUUGAGUUCAUUUUAUUUUCAUUUCCAUUUUUUUCCCUCUUAUUUUUUUUUCUUUACUAGUUUAUGGCUGCUAACACUCCAUAUUUUGGUGAUAGACUGGAUUUUAUUUCCAGGGAAGGCAAUGAGGCUUGUUUUUUUGCAAAGUUUGCAUAUUCAGAGGCACUAAACUCUAUUAGAGAAAGAAUGGCUGCUGCAACCUGUAAAAUUUGUUAUGCCAGGGAUCAUUCAACCGAUAUGUGCCCCGAAUAUCAAGAUAAUCUGAGUGUCCCACUCAAUAAUUAUGGAGAUUUUUCACCCUGGUCUCAAACGUGGUAUAACCCUAAUCCAAACGGGUAUGAUCAAGGAUGGUGGGAUAACUCCAGUUAUAAUUAUACAACAGGGCCAAUGAAUUUUCAGCAGUAUGAGUCUCAAGAAUCAUCAUCUAUGUCAGGUAUGUCUCUUGAAGAAAUAGUUAAAUCAAUAGCUACUAAUACAUAUCAAUUCCAACAGGAGACACAAAUGAGAAAUGGGAUGAUGAAGGAUGCAAUGAGUAAUCUGGCAGAUCAAAUAUGUCUAUUGACAUCCAGAAUAAAUCGAUUGGCUUCUCAAAUUGAAGAAUUGCCCUCGAAAACCAUUGUUGAUUUUGAAGAAAAUGAGAGUGCAAUUUGCUUGACUAGUGAUGAGGAGAUGCAAGAGUGUCAAAAUGAGAGAUCUACAGAUGCAGUUGAAAAAGAAGCCGAAAAGGAAGAAAUGGAACCCCAACCGCAACCCAUUCAAGUGAAAGAAUCCAGUGAAGAAUCAUCAAAUGUGGUGACACCACCUCCAUUCCCUAAUCCACAUUUUCUUAACUCUUACUCUAUGAUUUCUGUUAAUGAUAUUGAUUUUGUUAUACCGGAAGUUUUUGAGUCUCAUGGCAGAAAUGAGUAAAGAGUAGCUAUGGUCAAAUAUCUUGAACCGUUGAGUGCUCUUGAUGGAGGAGUGGAUGAAGAAUUGAGAUCACUGCUUGAUUAUUUGGCGCCAUCUACUAGUCCAUGGAAGACCGUAACUCGUGUACUCAAGAAUUACUCUAUUUACGAGAGCUAUCAGGAUUACAUAGAAGAUGAAGCACUGAAGCGAGUUACAUGAUUUUAUCCUCCAUGAAUACACAGGACAAUGUCUAGCCAAAGACAUUAAAGAAAGGCGCUGCUUGGGAGGCAACCCAAGGCUUUUGUUUUAAUUUUCUUAUGUUUUUGGAGUUUUUGUUAAGUGUUAGUUGCAUUUAGUGAUUUGUUGGUUUUGUGGCAGGAAGUUGCCAAUUAGACGUGCCCACGCUAGGUGGUCACGCCUAAAGAAGGAAGUUUUAAUUUGGCGGACAGAAAACUAACCAGCAGUUAGGCGUGCCCACGUCAGAUGGUCACGCUUAAGGAAAACAAUUUUCGUCUGCAGUCAGAAGACUCUAUAGUAGUUAGGCGUGCCCACGCCAAGUGGUCACGCUUAAGGAGUUUAAUUUCCGUGGGUUGGUCAGAAGUUUCAAGGGCAGUUAGGCGCGCCCACGCCUAACACAGGGUUGCAAGACCGCAACCAAAGGACUUCAAAUUCCACUGCCACCGUUGCACUGUUCAACGUGGGUCGUCAGUUCCUGAUUAUCGCUGCUUAUCGCGCAUAAUUCUUCCUCAUCUAUCGUGAGCCACCUGAAAUCCUUAGCUGGCGAUCAUAGCCUUCAUCGUCAUCAGUUUCGCCAUCGAGCUCUACAUGUCUUUUGCCUCUCACCUACAGUUGUGCCACAACCCCCCUUUGAUGAUCAGGGAAGUUUUGUUUUCCCUUUUUAUUUUGAAUUUUAUUCUUUAUUACUUACAUUGGGGACAAUGUAAGAUUUAGGUGUGGGGGGAGUAAUAUAUUGAUAAUAUAUUGAAAAAGUGCAAUGGUAGGCAUUUUUGUUGGAAUUUUUUGUUUGACUUUGUCGAAUUUUGUCCAAUUUUUUGUCUAUCUUUGUGCAUAUUUGUGAUUAUUCCUGAUAAACGAGGGUUAGAUGUCUCAAAUUUUUCUAUUGCCAAGAUUUUACACUUUAAGGUGUUGAGUAUAACAUGGUUGAGUUUAAGAGUAUCUCUUUGGUGAAUAUUUGAGAUUUUGUGACUUUUACACUUUUUGGUUAACUUCUCUAAGUAUUGUAAAUAUUUGUCUAGCAUUUUUUUUUGUGCAAAUUGGUUCAGCUAUUAAUCUUAGUUCUCCAUGUUUAAAAAAUAAAGCUGGUUUGUGUGGUAUUUAAUUUUAUUUUUGGUGCUUAUUUAUGAAUAGUAUUAGGCUAUACUCCGCUAAUAUCGUUGCCUAGUAACCGAGAGUUUUCACCACAAGUGUCGACUUUCGUGUCAAAAAGCAACGAUAGCUAUGAGUAUGUGGUUUUUAAGCGAUGUUGGCUGAGUAACCGGGCUCCUUCAUUUGGCCAAUGUCGGAGUUCGCGUCAAAACGUUUGAAUGGCUAAAAACUAAGCAUUCCCCCGAAAAAAAAAAAAAUCAAUCAAGCGUGGGGAUAUUUUAGAAAAAAGUGCUAAUAGUGAAAAAUGUGAAAGUGCUUGAAUGAAUUGUUAGCCCGCUGAUUCAUGAAUUUUAAUGUUGAGGUUUGGCUUAAUAGUCGAACCAUUUGCUUAUGGAUGCUGGUUGAAUAUUUUAUAUUCUUAGAUUAGUUAGUCAUAAAUUGGAAGAGUUCUUAAUCUUGAAGGCUAACUGGAGAGAUAUUGCUUGAGAAAUUACCACUAAUACUUGACAUAUGUUUUAAUUGUAUCUUGGCAAUAGAAGAUUUGAGCAAUAGCUAUUGUUUGAAUUUGAUUUGUUGUUCUCAUGCUUGAGGACAAGCAUGGUUUAGAUGUGGGGGAAAUUGAUAGGUCAUAAUUUGUUGCUAAAUUUAUAAUUAUUUUUCGCUAGAUUUUAGCCAAAUGUUAUUUUAAUUGAUUGAUUCUACUUAUAUUUGGUACUAAUUGCAGGAAGGUGGAGCAAAAAGAGAUAAAAGAUGUGAUUUUUCAAGAGUUUUCUAAUUCAAAAUGGAGUCUACGUGGAUUAUUGACGGAAGAUUAGGAGGAAGUUUAUUUGGUUUCAAAAAGUUAAAAAUUAGGAAAAUCAAUUCCUUCAAUUUCGUGGCUACCAAAAGGAAAAAGAGGGAACUAUUAGACUCCUAGUAGGUCUACUUGGCUUGGCAUGAAUUUCUGUUUGGCUUUGCUAUGUGGGGACCAUUGAGAGAAAGCCACAGUGGUGGACCUUUGUAUUUGGACUUUGGCUAAUUUGGACUAGAAACAAAAUAGCAUUGUAAUUGGUCUUGAUUUUGCUCCUUUAGCCGACCGAGAAAAUAGGAAAAGGGAAGCCGGAUCCCGCGUGAUUAAGAGUUGAAGGCAGCAACAAAUUCGGGAGGAACAAUUCGGCUGGCACUUAGGUCUUUGUACUUUUCCUUUUUAGCCGACUUUGGGGAGGACAAUUGCUUUGAUUUUGAUUUUCAUCUUUUACUUUUCUUCCUUGGCCGAUUUGGCCAGGAACAAUUUGGUAAGAUUCAGAUAGCUUUUUCGCAAGGUUGUUCUCAAUUAAUGGAGGACUAACCUCCUAAUGCUAGUCAAGGGGAUAACUGAAGAUUUGGUUCAACAAUGACUGUGAGAUCUAAUUUAUUUUAAUUGCUUCCUCC
This 5046-nucleotide long non-coding RNA is filed under the name Coffea arabica (coffee). RNAcentral's name for it is "long non-coding RNA (CARA_LNC007885)". The record is from RNAcentral. Lineage: Eukaryota; Viridiplantae; Streptophyta; Magnoliopsida; Gentianales; Rubiaceae.